AGAGUUUGAUCCUGGCUCAGAACGAACGCUGGCGGCGUGCCUAACACAUGCAAGUCGAACGAGAAACCUUGUCUUCGGAUGAGGGAGUAAAGUGGCGCACGGGUGAGUAACGCGUGAGUAACCUACCUCCGCUGUUCGGGAUAACGUCGGGAAACUGGCGCUAAUACCAGAAUGAAGUCUCCGGCUGCAGGGUUUGGAGACCAAAGCAGGCCUCUACAUGUAAGCUUGCGCAGGGAGAUGGGCUCGCGUCCCAUUAGCUAGUUGGUAGGGUAAAAGCCUACCAAGGCGACGAUGGGUAGCCGGGCUGAGAGGCUGUCCGGCCACACUGGAACUGAAACACGGUCCAGACUCCUACGGGAGGCAGCAGUGAGGAAUUUUGCGCAAUGGACGAAAGUCUGACGCAGCGACGCCGCGUGGGCGACGAAGCUCUUUGGAGUGUAAAGCCCUGUCAGGUGGGACGAAUCCGGAGGGAGUGAAUAACUCGCCUUCGCUGACGGUACCACCAGAGGAAGCCCCGGCUAACUCCGUGCCAGCAGCCGCGGUAAUACGGAGGGGGCGAGCGUUGUUCGGAAUCACUGGGUGUAAAGGGUGCGUAGGCGGUCCGAUAAGUCUGAUGUGAAAGCCCUGGGCUCAACUCAGGAACUGCAUUGGAAACUGACGGACUGGAGUACCGGAGAGGGAAGCGGAAUUCCUGGUGUAGCGGUGAAAUGCGUAGAUACCAGGAGGAACACCGGUGGCGAAGGCGGUUUCCUGGCCGAGUACUGACGCUGAGGCACGAAAGCGUGGGGAGCGAACGGGAUUAGAUACCCCGGUAGUCCACGCUGUAAACGAUGGGUGCUAGGUGUUGGAGGUAUCGACCCCUUCAGUGCCGUAGCUAACGCUUUAAGCACCCCACCUGGGGAGUACGUUCGCAAGAAUGAAACUCAAAGGAAUUGACGGGGGCCCGCACAAGCGGUGGAGCAUGUGGUUUAAUUCGACGACGCGAAGAACCUUACCUGGGCUUGAACUGGAGAGGACAGCCUGUGAAAGCAGGUCUCCCGCAAGGGUCUCUCUAGAGGUGCUGCAUGGCUGUCGUCAGCUCGUGUCGUGAGAUGUUGGGUUAAGUCCCGUAACGAGCGCAACCCCUAUCCUUAGUUGCCAGCGGGCAAUGCCGGGAACUCUAAGGAAACCGCCGGUGAUAAACCGGAGGAAGGUGGGGAUGACGUCAAGUCCUCAUGGCCUUUAUGUCCAGGGCCACACACGUGCUACAAUGGACGGUACAAAGGGUUGCUAAGCCGCAAGGUGGAGCUAAUCCCAAAAAGCCGUUCUCAGUUCGGAUUGGGGGCUGCAACUCGCCCCCAUGAAGGUGGAAUCGCUAGUAAUCGCGGAUCAGCAUGCCGCGGUGAAUACGUUCCCGGGCCUUGUACACACCGCCCGUCACACCACGAAAGUUGAUUGUACUAGAAACCGCUGAGCUAACCGUUCACUCGGAGGCAGGCGUCUAAGGUAUGAUCAGCGAUUGGGGUGAAGUCGAAACAAGGUA
Molecule: ribosomal RNA, 1522 nt
Filed under: metagenome
Description: bacterial SSU rRNA
Rfam family: Bacterial small subunit ribosomal RNA
Source: RNAcentral